RNAcentral lists this ribosomal RNA (253 nucleotides) under uncultured bacterium. RNAcentral describes it as "partial 16S ribosomal RNA". It matches the Rfam family "Bacterial small subunit ribosomal RNA", at positions 524 to 776 of the family's 1533-position model. The record is from RNAcentral.
UACGGAGGGUGCAAGCGUUAUCCGGAUUCACUGGGUUUAAAGGGUGCGUAGGUGGGCAGGUAAGUCCGUGGUGAAAUCUCUGAGCUUAACUCAGAAACUGCCGUGGAUACUAUUUGUCUUGAAUAUUGUGGAGGUGAGCGGAAUAUGUCAUGUAGCGGUGAAAUGCUUAGAUAUGACAUAGAACACCAAUUGCGAAGGCAGCUCACUACACAAUUAUUGACGCUGAGGCACGAAAGCGUGGGGAUCAAACAGG